UACAGAGGUCCCAAGCGUUGUUCGGAUUCACUGGGCGUAAAGGGUGCGUAGGCGGUCGGGUAAGUCUGAUGUGAAAUCUCACAGCUUAACUGUGAAACUGCAUUGGAUACUAUCCGGCUCGAGGAAUGGAGGGGAGACUGGAAUACUUGGUGUAGCAGUGAAAUGCGUAGAUAUCAAGUGGAACACCAGUGGCGAAGGCGACGUGCUGGACCUCUUCUGACGCUGAGGCGCGAAAGCCAGGGGAGCAAACGGG
Molecule: ribosomal RNA, 253 nt
Filed under: uncultured bacterium
Lineage: Bacteria
Description: partial 16S ribosomal RNA
Rfam family: Bacterial small subunit ribosomal RNA
Source: RNAcentral